Non-coding RNA from Peromyscus maniculatus bairdii (prairie deer mouse), 2839 nucleotides. NCBI's taxonomy places the organism in Eukaryota, Metazoa, Chordata, Mammalia, Rodentia, Cricetidae. The record is from RefSeq and is a predicted model, not a curated record.
CGGCCUCCGCUCAACCACCGCCCGGGGCUGUGACACCCAGUGACCCGGCAGGGCGAGGCGGUGAACGGCAGCUGCCCCCCCCCACACACCCCGGCCGUCUGGGGGAAGUGGCCGAGGGCCUGGUGCGGAGCAGAUCAGCUCCGGGUGGUGUGGGUCGGGAGGCGCCCGAGAUCGGCCCCCCUGAGGGCUUCCAGAAGCUUCCGCUGUAACCCAGGAGAUUCAUCUUCCUGGAUGAGGAUUUCUUGAAAUUUGUCAUGCGUACAGACCAGGUGUGGUGGUGACCGCUUGUCAUCACAGCAUUCUGCAGGCUGAGACAGGAGAAUCUUGAGGUGAGGUCAACCCUUGGGGUUCAUAAGACCUAGUCUUCAAGGCAAGCAAUCAAGCAAAGUAAGAGAAAGGAGAAUGAGAAGGAAAGUUUGAGAGCCAUGGUUAUGGUGGAAGUACACAGGAGAAGCUAAACUUGGCUGAAGGUAGCAGAAUGUUGAGUGCUUUCUGAGAUGCAAUGGACUACCUGCACAAGUUGAGCUGUAAUGGAAGGAACAGUUAAUGAGAGCUGGGGACAUCGGCGGGCUCAACUAGGAGACAGCAUUUUACCUGGCCUCCACUUGAUGAGGCAGUAGCAGGACAAUAGACAUUCCCAGUGAAAGAGCAGACUGUAAGAAGGCAUGAGCCUUCAGACCACACUCUGGAGAACUGAAGUACAGCAGGCCUGAGAAAGUUGCCUCCAGAUGGAGAAGGCUUUGAAUGCCCUGCCAACAGCUCUAGAUUUCAUGAUAAUGACAGCAGGCGAGGAAUUUAGGUGAUGCAACUAAUUACCGAUGGUGAUGACGAUGAUGAUGAUGAUGAUGAUGAUGAUGAUGAUGAUGAUGAUGACAGUGUAUGAGUGAUGCUACCCAGGGAACCCAAGGCUUCUGAAUACUGAGCUGGCUCUCUGCUGGUGAUUGACAGCCCACCCUGCACCUAGUUCUUUGAAGUGAAAUGGUUGACAUCAAUGGGAAAGGCAGAUUGAUAAGCAAAUGACUGAAGAACCUGAGAGGGGCAGUCUCCGCGCCCACAGGCAUCGAUUUCUGAUGGAGCUACAGAUGUCAGAGUUCACAGCUAGGAGUCCAAGGGAAGUAGCUGUCUGCAGCUCCCGGAGGCCGCGCUUUCCAGUAAACAGAACUUGAAACCUAAGCCCUGUACUCUGAUACUCCAAAGACUGAACUAUGGUGGCAUGGCCACUCUCGCUUUGUGCUGGCCAAGCACCUGUCCUGAGGACACUUCCAACCAGUCCCUCCUUAUGCUUCGGAGACUCCUGGUGGGAGUGUCCAACUCGACAGCCUGGGAGGCCUGUGGAAGUCUGGGUAUGGAUGGCAUCACACCCCCAAGAAGCCAUCUGGCGACAAAAGCUGGAGACGCUGGAAUCCUUCUUCGGGGAAUGAUUCAUUCUAACAGGAAUGGACAAGUAUUUGGGUGUCAAUUUCAGAGGCACUCCCUAACAAACAUCCUGGAUGCUAAACUGUGACUCAGAGGCUUCUUCCUGUGGAGUCACAGCUAUGAAGACGCUCUGUUGCCCCUAGAACUGUAAUGUGUUUUCCUCACAAAUGAGAACACUCAGAGCAUUUCAGCAAAAUCAUCUAAAUCAGGAUUUAACAAGUUUGCCUCUCAUCUCCAGACUCUACUGAAAUUGUCAACGUUCUCAAUAGUAUCCUGUGUGUGUGUUCAUGUGUAUGUGGGCAUAUAUGCACAUGGUAGGGGGCUUUGUGUAUAUGCAUGUGUGUAUGAGUGGGUGCAUGUGUGUGUGUGUUGUGGGGGGGAGCUGACUGGAGAGAGAGCCUCAGGGUCUCCACCUCCCCAGCUCUGGGAUUACAAGCGGACACCACCAUGCCGGACUUUCCCCCGUGGGUCCUGGGGAGUAAACACUGUACUGACUGGGCUGUCCUCCUUGCCCUAAUCACACCGUCUUUAUAGUGAAAAGACCCUUCCAGAAAUCACACCUGUGUUUAGGUGGCAUGGCUCCCCAGUCUGGUUUUUGUGUUUGCUUCAUGGUCAUUAACGUGUAUAUGUAUGUGUACGUGGGAGGCGUGAGGACAACUCUGUGGAGUUAGGGAAUCCGAUCUCUCCUUCCAUCCCUGUACGGGUUCUGGAGGUUGCAUCAUGAGCAACAUCAUCCGCUGCGCUGUCUCACAGCUCCUCCCGCCUUGUUCAACACUGCACAGCUUCUUAGUCAUUCUUUCCCUUUAUAUAAUAUUCACACAUGCAGGAUUAUGUAAUCCUCACGCACGCAGCAGCCCAGGCUGGCUUCAGACUCCUGCCUCUACUUCCCCAGCGCCUCAGCGGGCACCACCAUGGGCGGCUUUCCUUUGACUUCCACGACUCAACAGUUCUCCAGAUGAUCGGCCCCUUCUUUUUGUAGAAGGUUUUUGAAUUUGAGCUUAGCUUGCAGCAGAGAAACUGAGGGGAGAUCUCUGCAAUGGAGUCCACUGGCUGUAUCACCACACCUCCUACAAGUUGCCCCUGCAUCCGCUCAGGUGCCAUGCUCUGCAGGCAUGGACUGCCAUCUUCCAGGGUACAGAAAGACAGAACCCAAAACUGGAGUUUGAUCAUAAUUAGACUGAGGUCAUGCACCUUUGGACAAACUACCAGAGCAGCCACUUUUCAUUGCAUCCUAGUGGGUGGCACAUGCCGCCAACUUGUUUUAUCACGAAUGCGGGUAAACUGUGACCACUUGACUAGGUGGUGACUGCCAGGAUUUCUGUGAAAUUACCUUUUCCCUUUGAAAUUAAGUUUUUUAUGGGGACAUGCAUUACAGCUACGAGUAAAUAGAAUAUAAAGAGCAAAUAUCCUGCCCUUCAUCAGA